RNAcentral lists this ribosomal RNA (848 nucleotides) under uncultured Sebacina. RNAcentral describes it as "eukaryotic LSU rRNA". It matches the Rfam family "Eukaryotic large subunit ribosomal RNA", at positions 43 to 875 of the family's 3401-position model. The record is from RNAcentral. Lineage: Eukaryota; Fungi; Basidiomycota; Agaricomycetes; Sebacinales; Sebacinaceae.
UCAAUAAGCGGAGGAAAAGAAACUAACAAGGAUUCCCCUAGUAACGGCGAGUGAAGAGGGAAAAGCUCCAAUUUUGAAUCUGGUGUCUUUGGCGCCCGAGUUGUAAUCUAGAGAAGUGUUUUCCGCAUUGGACCGUGCACAAGUUCCCUGGAACGGGGCGUCAUAGAGGGUGAGAAUCCCGUAUAUGGCACGGACUACCAGCGCUCUGUGAUACACUCUCAACGAGUCGAGUUGUUUGGGAAUGCAGCUCAAAACGGGUGGUAAAUUCCAUCUAAAGCUAAAUAUUGGCGAGAGACCGAUAGCGAACAAGUACCGUGAGGGAAAGAUGAAAAGCACUUUGGAAAGAGAGUGAAACAGUACGUGAAAUUGUUGAAAGGGAAGCGUUUGAAGUCAGUCACGUUUUACGGGAUUCAGCCUGGCUUUUGCCUGGUGUAUUUUCUGUCCAACGGGUCAGCAUCAAUUUUGACCGAGGGAGAAAGCUGUGGGGAAUGUGGCUGUCUUCGGGCAGUGUUAUAGCCCUGUGGUGUAUGUCUCGAUUGGGAUUGAGGUACGCAGCGCGCCUAUUGGCCGGGGGUUCGCGCCCCUCGGUACGCGCUUAGGAUGCUGGCAUAAUGGCUUUAAGCGACCCGUCUUGAAACACGGACCAAGGAGUCUAACAUGUGCGCGAGUGUUUGGGUGUCAAACCCAGGCGCGGAAUGAAAGUGAAAGGUCGGGAUCUGGAAACAGUGCACCGACGCCCGGAGCAGACCUUCUGUGACGCAUCCGCGGUAGAGCGUAUAUGUUGGGACCCGAAAGAUGGUGAACUAUGCCUGAAUAGGGUGAAGCCAGAGGAAACUCUGGUGGAGGCU